Molecule: unclassified non-coding RNA, 22 nt
Filed under: Mus musculus (house mouse)
Lineage: Eukaryota; Metazoa; Chordata; Mammalia; Rodentia; Muridae
Description: oocyte_clustered_small_RNA13115
Source: RNAcentral
UUCUCGACAUUACAGCACAAAC